GAUGAGAUGCCUGAGUAAAGGGUUAUUGUGAUAGAAUAAAUAAUGCAAAAAUAAAUUGCUCUCAUUA
Molecule: transfer RNA, 67 nt
Filed under: Anaplecta sp. 7 ZQW-2020
Lineage: Eukaryota; Metazoa; Arthropoda; Insecta; Blattodea; Anaplectidae
Description: tRNA-Ile
Source: RNAcentral